Molecule: long non-coding RNA, 1142 nt
Filed under: Carica papaya (papaya)
Lineage: Eukaryota; Viridiplantae; Streptophyta; Magnoliopsida; Brassicales; Caricaceae
Description: long non-coding RNA (CPAP_LNC015825)
Source: RNAcentral
GAGACCACAAUCCCGGUAGGGUUCCCUACGGACCCGGUCCGUCCACAAUCUCCCAGGAUAUCUAGUCAGGCUGACCACAUUAUGGAAUUACCCAUUUACAUAAUCUAUCAUUGUCUUUUCCCUCAGUCAGCAUCAUCAAUCCACAUACAAACAAGCAAAACAGUAAUUUAUGCCAAACAGACAACAUACAGCAUCAAUAUCCCAGUCAUUCAAUCCAUAAUCAAUAAAAGAGUACAAUAUGCACACGAAACUAUAAAAUGAAAACAUCAAACCUCAUACUGCAUUUAAAACUGUAAAACAUGCCAAAUAACAGUUAACCGACAAACACACUAGAUUCGGGCUCCAUUAGCGACCCUAAGCAAUUUCACACAUUCGUUGAUUCAUGAAAUACCGUUUUAUCAUUUAUUGAACUUUAAAACCGUGAUAGGAAAUAGGGUGAGGGGUCCUUACUUGUUUCGGGGUCCGAACACGGCUUCACAGUGCGCCUACAGGCUGUCCCUAAUUUUCCCUGAAUUUUUUUCGGAGAACUGAAACGCACUACUGGUACCUGCACGUGUUCCAAAAAAUUCCAAAUUAGGCCCAGGGUCCCUUUCGGCCAAUAUUGCAAUUCCGGCACGGCGGCGGUUCGCCUCGGGUUGGCCGUUUUCGGCCGUUUCCGGCUGAAUUCGGCCACACUCGCAUUGGUUCCUGCGAUAAAACAACCCUACGGCCCUCGGAGGGGCGAAAAUUUACGGAAAACCAAAGCUUACCGGCGGCGGUGCUCUCGGGUGCGGCGGCUCUCCGGUGAAGUUCGUGUUUUGGUGAUUCGGCUCCGAUCAACCUGUAGAGAAAAGAAUGGCGAUCACGGUGGUAUAAAAAUUGCAUUAAACGGAGGCCGGGAAGGGCCUCAUCGGAGGCAAAAACCGAGGAGGGGCGCAGCGGCGCCGCUGGGCUUCGGCCGUGUUUUCCGGCCGUUUGGCCAGGAUUUUGGCUCCGAUUUGGCCACCGAGAAAAUUAGCGUGGAAAAACGAGUCGGGGGUAUGAAAUUUACCUCGAUCGGCAGUCGAAAAUCCCUCCGGUGCGGCGGCGGGUGGCGGCAGUCGGCUUCUGGUUCGUCUUCUUCGGCGAGGGCAGGCGGCUAGGGUUUUGUGGUCUGGUGUGGG